Anolis carolinensis (green anole) is the source of this 4099-nucleotide long non-coding RNA. RefSeq lists it as uncharacterized. Lineage: Eukaryota; Metazoa; Chordata; Lepidosauria; Squamata; Anolidae. The transcript has 3 exons. The record is from RefSeq and is a predicted model, not a curated record.
UAUAAAAUAAAUAGCUUGGGGAGGGGGAGGGGAGUGGAAGAGGAGGAAAAUCUCACCGCUUGACAUUAUUUUACCAUCAGCAUACUGGCACAGAAAUGGAAUGACCCCACCAUACAAAGUAAAUGAUAGGAACAUGGUGAGAUUGGCAGUUAUUGAUGGGUUUUGCUGCUGGAUAGUGGGGAAGAGGCAGACCGGCAGCAGGAUGAGCACAAGAUGCCUGUUUGCUUACCUUGUGUGAUAAUAAAUAAAAAAAUAGCAGCAGCAGUAGACAUUUAUUGCAUUAGACCUUGGAUCAUUGUGAGAUAAAAUCAAAUAACAGGAUUUGCAUAAAGAUAAUGAAUUAUUAAAAGUAAUAAAAUCAGAUAAUACGGAGCAUACAUACAUAUUACUUAUGCAAAGUACUGCUUAUUUGAAAAUAAUGCUUAUAACAAUGUUCCCAACAGGAGGAAAAAAUACAAUUUAAUGUCAGGGAUUUCAUAUUUUCAGAUCUGCCUGUUUGCCAAAUCUGAUUCUAUUCACAUUUUCUUACAUUUGGCAGCCUUUAUUAUACAGACAGCAACUUUCCAAGUGACACACUGGGUAAUUUCUUGCAGCAAAAAAAAGUAUUCACUAAUCAAAUAAAACAAACAAACAAUGACAAAACCCCACAAAGAAACAGUUUUCUCUUAAUAUCUCUAGCUUUCCUUUAUUUUGGUAAGGAAUCUCAGCAACGUGCUCUGAUGUCCCUGUCUAGGUGAUAUUCAAGGAUUGUAGUGUGUUAGAAUCUUCUGAAACACAGAGUGUAUCUAGAUCAGGGCCCACCCAAACUAAGACCUGUGGGACUCCAAGGUUAUUUACCCGGCCCCUGCUCUAAACAUAAGUCUUAGGAUCACCCUAAGUCUGAAACGAUUUGAAGGCACACAAUAACAACAAUCCUAAUUAACUUGAUUAGCUUAACAGCCAAAAGAAGGCCCACAAUUCCGAUUGAAACACUGGUAAGUCUGUGUUGGUUUAAAUUGUUCUUCAUUUUAAAUAUUACAUUGUUCUUUCAUUUUUUUUUUCAAACUAUAGUUUGGCUCCCCAACAGGGACUGUGAAUGGUCCAUCUACCUAAAAAGUUUGAUCUAAACUGUGGAAUUAAUGAAGUUUGAAAUCACUUUAAUUGCCGUAUCUCAAUGCUAUGGAAUUAAGACAGCCGUAGUUUUACAGUUUCUUUAAUCUUCUUUAUCAAAAAGUCCUGGUGCCUCACCAAACUACACAUCCCAGGAUUCCAUGACCAUUAAAGUGGGGCCAAACAACAUUAAUUUUGUUGUAUGUCAGGCUAUUCUAUCUGUGUCUGUUCCCACCGUACAGCCUGAGUCUGAAGUUCAUGAAGGAAAUUAUACUUCAGUUGAGGGGCUUGGGCAGGAAUUAAAUGUUAAUGAGAGGCCUGAGCAGCUGGAAUUAAGUGUAAAUGAGCAAGGUUCAGAUGAGAAGCUUGAGCCAGCGGAGUUGUAGGGGGAUGACCUUUCACUGAGUUCUGCAGAGUUACAGUAUGGUAGUGACUUGGAGGUUGUUUCUCCAGGUGGCAAUGAGAAGAUGACCUUGAACCGAAAGCAAUUUUACAGUAAAGAUAGAAAAGUCUCUCAGAAACUCAGACGAUCUGCUCGUUUACAACAAAAAAGAGAUAAUGAUCAGUCAGCUGCCUCAAAAGGGAAAAAGAAUGCAUUUCUUAUGGUCUGGGAUUUUGGGGAAAGCUUUUAUUGAUUCAUGUAGCUUUCGUUUUCAAGUCGAGGCAACUUUGCUUUACCUCCAAGGAUCCUGUUUCCAAGUGCUCCGUGUUUCCAAGGAUAUUUUCUAGUUUCAAUUGGCCUUUGGGAUUUAAUGUUUGCUUUUUGAAUUACUUUAUCCAAGUUUUGCCUAUGGUCUUGUUUUGCUAUGUUUCCUGUUUUCACCUACCUUUCUCCAUGUAAUUUCUGCAGUUUCAUGCUUUGGAUUUAAACUGAAACUUUAAAGACAUUCUUUACUGGCUACUUUUUGGAUUGUACUUUUUACUAUUUUAUCCUGGUUUGCUUUUAUACAUAUAUUUUACAAAAAACUGCUUGCUGUUUAAUCAGCUGGUGUGUUGCUUAUAGUCAAAAAGAUUUCUGCCUUGGAGUGUGACACGUUCUACAGUGAAGAUGCACCCAUAGUCAUUAGCUGAAUUGGCGCAAAGGCAGGUUUGAUCUUCUGGAGUCUGACACUGGAUCUACACUGCCCUAUAUCCCAGGAUCUGAUCCCAAAUUAUUUGCUUAUCCCAGAUUAUCUGGCAGUGUAGACUCAUAUAACCCAAUUCAAAGCAGAUAAUUCAAAUUCUUAGCAGAUAGCUCCAGCCUGAAUUAGUGAGAGCCUUUAAUAUUCCAAACAUCUGUUAUUGAUCUAAUUAGCUCAGGUAUUUGUGAUAAAUGGUGAAAAAUAAUAAAUCAUGUUGUAUUGUUUAGACAAUUUUAUUUAGUUAUCAUUUGUCCAAGUAAAGGAAAUGCCUGAUGAUGAAGAUGUAGGCUGGCUGGUGAUUGACACUUCAUCUUUGUUGUAUUUUGUGUCCACAGGGACAGUAGACUGUAUUUUUUGUUUUCUCCGCAAACUGCUCUCUUCUGCUUCUUAUCUUUUUUUGUCAGUGGUGUUUACUUAGAAUCUAAAGGAAGCUUUGACCCAAAGGGGAGAAAGUGGAUAAAGAAGUAUAGGAUGAACAUUUCCAAAGGACAGUAAAGUAAAAACAAAAGAAUAAGUAAAAGUAAGAAGGGAACUUUAAGAAAUUGACAACAUAUUAUACAGCUGUAGUCAUGGGUCGGGAAGAGCUCAGUUUCAAUAUAAUUUUCGUUCUCUCACACUUAUACACUUCAUGUGUGAAAUAACUAACCAGCAGGUGGUUAAGUUGAGAACCCUUUCACUCUACACCGUCAUAGCACUAUGAUUCCAGUUUAAUUACCAUGACAUCCUGAUUAAUCCUUGGAUUUGGCAUAUUUAGAAUUCUCAUUCAUAAAACAUGAAUGCUUCGCCAGACUAUAAAUCUAAGGAUUCCAUAAGAAGUUGCUAUGGCACUUAAUCUAGAAUUGUAGUGCUAUAAUUGUAUACUGUGAAAGGCCUCCAGGUGUUUUAUUCAGUUCUUGGUGGCCCUACCAAUGUAGCAAUAAGUUGGCUCUCAAUAUAGUUUGUAAAUAAAAUAUUUUGUUGUUUAAAAACAAAAAAAUAAUUAAGCCACUAUUCUCUUAGAUAUUUACCCAUCUUGUCAUGGUGAGGUUGCUUGUGUGUUCCAAUAAAUUGCAGGUGUAACCAUCGCAACCAUGUACUCCCAAGGAGGGGUCGCAGAAGAGGUUCCAGACUGAGCACAAUCUAAACACCUCAACGGUGGAUCAGGUGGAAGACAACAUGAUAAAUGUUACAACAGCAGUGGAGACGGAAGAAGGCUGCAACAGACUGAGAAGCCACCAUUGUCAUGUUAACCAUGCCACUGGUUGGGACCCUCACUCUGUGAAGACUGUGUUUUGAUCAGCUGUGUACAGACCUCCAUACAUUAAAACAAACUCUCAAACAGGUAUCUUCCAAGGCUGCCUUCUACCUGGAAACCAAUGCCUCACUAUGGAAGAACAUGCGGGCCAAGAAUAGGGCGCCAUAAUCACCUACCUAUCCACCGCCAAGACACUACACUUGGAAGCCAUCAUACUUCGACAACAAGGGAUCGCCUAAGUAAAAAAGGAGGUACACUAUGGAGGUUAAAGAAUCUGCGGUGACCAACUGGACUUUCUGUUAUAAAGAAAGCGAAACACAACAAUGGAAGAGACAGCUGAGAUGUUGGGAUGUAGCCGAGCAAGCUUCCUGCAGUUGUACGCCUGUUCCUGUGGUUUUGUGGGACACUGAUUCAGAAAAUUGCAUUUAAUAGUCCUCAUCAGCUCUCGAUUGGCAUCCAUCACCCAGAAGACCUUUUCAUUGGCUGCCCCAAGACUGUAGAAUGAUCUUACAGAAGAACUCUGACAGCUAAACCAGUUGUUGGAAUUUCAGAUGCAACUGAAGACCCAUCUCUUCUGGCAUACUUACCCUACCCAGUCAAUUUUAACUUGUGAAUUUUAACCUGCAUUUUAUCAGUAAAUUUAAUCUGCUUUUUA